GUGGAAUGAUGAUCUAUAUUCUGAGU
Molecule: non-coding RNA, 26 nt
Filed under: Gallus gallus (chicken)
Lineage: Eukaryota; Metazoa; Chordata; Aves; Galliformes; Phasianidae
Source: miRBase by way of RNAcentral